CCUUUCAGGUAAGGUGUACAAUGACCUGGGCCUGGGUUUCUCCCAGCUGAAGUUGUUCCAGGAGGCAGCCUGGUGCUAUGAGCGGGCCCUGCCCCUUGUCAGCACCAGGCCCAAAAGGCUGGCCGUGGUCCUACAGAACCUGGGAGCCGUUCACAACACACUGAGCCAGUACCGGCAGGCCCUGGACUACCACCGAUAGACAGCCAGCCUGCAUGGUGAGCUUAUUACAUCACUUACGCUGGAGAGUAUAGUUAUACUGUAUUUUCUGCAAAGUUCAGUGCUGUUAUGUACUGCAUGUAAUAAUGAUAUACCAUUUAGCAUGCGCUAUUCUCCAAAGUACUCUGCGUGCAUAUUGUUUUUGUAUGAGUGGUGCAAGCACUCUACCAACUGAGCCACAGAGAAUCGUGUGUGUGAGGAACAUGUUACCUGAGGCGUGUAGGAGUAAUUGUUUAGGCAGAGGGGCAGACCAUUCCUCAAACAUUUCAUUAUACCCUGAUUAAUCCUUUACAGUAUCUGGGUGUGUCCAGUGCUCUCCAUGCCUCUAAUCUGUCUCUGUGAGCAGCUCUCACAUUAGCAAGAGAGGUGUGUGUAUGUGUGUGCUCGCGCGCAGGGGUGUGUGUGGCUGAGAUUCCACUGAGGCAAUCCCAUAGGGACUUACAGAGUGCUUACCACAGCACCACUGAGUGACUCACACACUGGUAUGUCUUGUGUGUAUGUGCAUGUAACGGUUCUAAGACAUGUUUUUUUCGGCAGCCCACAUGCUGUUGGGGAUGUGAACGUGACAUAGCUACUUAUGCUUUUUUUUUAAGUGAGUGAAAAAGUGAUGACGCUGUAAAUAUUGUCUCUUGUUCCCUGUAUUAACCCCUCUCCCUUUGUAAUCUAUCUUUCUCUCAAACUCUGUCUCUCUCUGAUACCCUUCCCCCUUUCUCCCCAUCAUUCUGUGUGUCUGCGUCAGGGUCUUUGGGCAGUCGUCGUGCUCAGUGCCGCUGCUUCAGUAACUUGGCCUUUGCCCUCAGUCAGCUGAGGGAGCAUGAGGAGGCAGCAGAGAAUGACCUCCAAGCCCUGCAGGCCUUCAAAGACACUGUGAGUGGAGCUGGCUCUGCAGAGGUGUCUAUCGGAGAGCAGGGGAAGGAGGAGGAAGCCCCGGUUCCAGAUGGAGAACAGGCACACACAGUGACGAUGGGAGAAGCAUGUGACUCUCAGUCACCGGUGACAAGAUCUCUCAUUGAGAAGCCGGGGUAUCUGACUGUGCUGCCAGGGGCAAACAGGAACCUGAAUAAUACAUAUGAGCAGCCCGACCCGACCACCAUUAUUAGAACCAGGACCCAUCAAACCACCCUGUACUCACCCAGCAGAGUAAGAACCACUCCCCUCAAUCUUAACCUGAGAAACGGUUGCACAACAUGAACUUUUGCACAAAUCUCCCAUUGGGGAAGUAGCUAGCUAUAACUAGUGUGUGGGCUAAGUAGUCCUUAUUUGGACAGAGGACCACUAGCAUGUUAAAAUAACACAACUUUUUAAAAUCCACAUUCUGCACAUAUACAAGAAAGUAAUGGCUGUGUUAUCAAAAGCUUUGUUCAACCAAUAUUUACUGUUUGUUAUAAUCCCUCUGUAGGCGAGCAUUUAUAUGAGAGCUUUAAACCGAUGACAACACAGACUAACAGGUGUGUAAUGUUUGUUUGUAAGUUAUUUCCAGUGAUCGGCUUCAGUUUGAGUAAUCAUUGAUACUGACUGAACACGUAUCAUGUGUUUUAGUGAGACUCCAUUGUCCGAAAGCGCCGAAGAUUCACCCACUGGUGCGACAGAUAAUGAAGAGACCAUAACCCUGUUAAAGAAACGGAAGUCCUAAAUCUGCACAGUCAUGUGACUUGAUGCAAGUUAAUGUGGUUGGUUAAUUGAAAGCAUUCAUAGAAAUGACUCUAUUGGGUGUAUUUCUAUGGGUCAAAUCUGCUCUUUGCACAUUGGUAUUAAAAAUUCUAAUGCACAUGUAAGUGUUACUGUAUAACAUUGUCUGUCUCAUCUCCUGCACGUACAAGUGUUGCCAUGUCAUUGCAUUUGUCUUCCAAACACUCCCUGUGUGUAUGCUGGUCAUUGUCCCCCACACUGAAAUUGGGGAAGGGACUGUGGAUCUGUUUCCGUCCGUUAGUACGUUCAUAUGUUAGUCACAAGCGAUAUCUCAGACAGCAUUGGCCCGGUUUUGACUAAACUUUGGUGAAUGGUGCAUCUUGCCAUAGCUUUACAGCAUUUAGAAAAUUACACUGAUUGGCCAGAUGGUGGCCCUGUAACAAGAUUGAAAAUGCAAAGUUUGAAAGGUCAUGCCCCUCACCCCAUUAUACCUUAAAUCAUGAAAUAUAGUAGAUCGGUUCCUGUCUUCACAAGGAACAAAUUUGCCUCUGGACCCAUAAGUUCCGCCAUGAUGGAUUUUCCGCCAUUUUGAAUUGUGUGAAAAACACUUAACCCUACUCUUCUGAUACCGAAUGACCAAUCUGCACGAAACUUGAUAUGUGGCAUUUAUGGAAAACGAUCUCUCAACGCAAUAUUUUCCAGACUGGUAGCUAAAUCAACAUGGCCGCUAUAUUGACCAAUAAACAUUCACCUGGGUGUGUUCUGGCACAUAACUGCAUAUAAAUCAGUCAAAGACAUUCGUAUUGUAACAGAAUUUGAUAAACCCUGUCAAGACUCAACAUAUGCAAGAACAUUCAUAUCGACCUUGCUGUGGCGCUAUAACGGGCAUAUAUCUGUUGGUCUGUUUGACUUAGUGAUGAAAUUUGGCACGCAUGUUUAGGGAUAUGAGCUAACCCACACGAUAUCUCAGACACCACUGGCCCAAUUUUGACAACAUUUGGGUGAAUGAUUAGUCAUGCUAUAGAGAUCUGAAAAUGACAAAAUUAUACCUUUUGGGCCAGGGGGGCUAUAGUAAUCAACUGUACAUACGUUAGUCAUUUGUGGGGGGAUGACAUGUUUACUGUUGCCUUAUUUCAAGGUGUCUUGGUAGUCAAUAUUCUAAGAUUGUCAUAAUGUGUAUCAUUUCUUCAAUCAUGCUAAUUUAAAUCUCUGCUCUUCACUUGAAUCAUGGUUGUACAAUUUGAAAUAAAUGUCAUCUGUUUUUGAACUAUUUAACUCUGAUCCUUUGUAAAUGUAUAGUCACCACAACGCUUAAGAAAGCCAUCACCGUUGAUCAUUGCUACAAGAAAACACAAAAAAAGAACAAGCACUCAAUCUGUUUUCAAUUGGUUUUCCUAAAGGUCACACUAUGAGAAAAUAGGCCUAACCUGUAAUUAAAUAUCCACAAUUGUUACCCAGAGGAGGGCCAUUUUUUUUCAAUUUCAGUCAGGGAGAGGGUUUAGUCUUUUAUUCAUUUUUAUAUAUUUGUUAUUUAGUCCAG
RNAcentral lists this long non-coding RNA (3385 nucleotides) under Oncorhynchus kisutch (coho salmon). RNAcentral describes it as "lncRNA (ENSOKIG00005015466.1)". The record is from RNAcentral. Lineage: Eukaryota; Metazoa; Chordata; Actinopteri; Salmoniformes; Salmonidae.